RNAcentral lists this non-coding RNA (137 nucleotides) under Halorubrum tebenquichense DSM 14210. Lineage: Archaea; Methanobacteriati; Methanobacteriota; Halobacteria; Halobacteriales; Haloferacaceae. The record is from Rfam by way of RNAcentral.
AAAUGAGGCUCAACUUGGAGAGCCUCAGCCAAAUCCUGGGGAGGGUUUAGGCAUCCAAAUGGGUAGCAAUAGCUCCGUCCCUUUGGAGAGACGGUCCAGAGACCGGGCCAGUCAGACCCGGUCGGGAAAUCCGUCUU